This 137-nucleotide ribosomal RNA is filed under the name uncultured bacterium. RNAcentral describes it as "partial 16S ribosomal RNA". The record is from RNAcentral.
GCACGGAAGUUAGCCGGAGCUUAUUCUCCAGGUACUGACAUUAUCAUCCCUGGUAAAAGAGCUUUACAACCCUAAGGCCUUCAUCACUCACGCGGCAUUGCUGGAUCAGGCUUUCGCCCAUUGUCCAAUAUUCCCCA